This 503-nucleotide ribosomal RNA is filed under the name uncultured Staphylococcus sp. RNAcentral describes it as "bacterial SSU rRNA". It matches the Rfam family "Bacterial small subunit ribosomal RNA", at positions 71 to 558 of the family's 1533-position model. Lineage: Bacteria; Bacillati; Bacillota; Bacilli; Caryophanales; Staphylococcaceae. The record is from RNAcentral.
GGACGAGAACUUGCUUCUCUGAUGUUAGCGGCGGACGGGUGAGUAACACGUGGAUAACCUACCUAUAAGACUGGGAUAACUUCGGGAAACCGGAGCUAAUACCGGAUAAUAUUUUGAACCGCAUGGUUCAAAAGUGAAAGACGGUCUUGCUGUCACUUAUAGAUGGAUCCGCGCUGCAUUAGCUAGUUGGUAAGGUAACGGCUUACCAAGGCAACGAUGCAUAGCCGACCUGAGAGGGUGAUCGGCCACACUGGAACUGAGACACGGUCCAGACUCCUACGGGAGGCAGCAGUAGGGAAUCUUCCGCAAUGGGCGAAAGCCUGACGGAGCAACGCCGCGUGAGUGAUGAAGGUCUUCGUAUCGUAAAACUCUGUUAUUAGGGAAGAACAUAUGUGUAAGUAACUGUGCACAUCUUGACGGUACCUAACCAGAAAGCCACGGCUAACUACGUGCCAGCAGCCGCGGUAAUACGUAGGUGGCAAGCGUUAUCCGGAAUUAUUGGG